RNAcentral lists this ribosomal RNA (789 nucleotides) under uncultured bacterium. Its description in RNAcentral is "bacterial SSU rRNA". It matches the Rfam family "Bacterial small subunit ribosomal RNA", at positions 8 to 796 of the family's 1533-position model. The record is from RNAcentral.
AGAGUUUGAUCAUGGCUCAGGAUGAACGCUAGCGGCAGGCCUAAUACAUGCAAGCCGAGGGGCAGCAUAGUCUUCGGACUGAUGGCGACCGGCAGACGGGUGCGUAACGCGUAUGCAACCUACCUACUACAAGAGGAUAGCCCGGGGAAACUCGGAUUAAUACUCUAUAAAACAGGGGUCUCGCAUGGGACAAUAUGUUAAAGAUUUAUCGGUAGUAGAUGGGCAUGCGUACGAUUAGCUAGUUGGCGGGGUAAAGGCCCACCAAGGCGACGAUCGUUAGGGGGUCUGAGAGGAUGAUCCCCCACACUGGUACUGAGAUACGGACCAGACUCCUACGGGAGGCAGCAGUAGGGAAUAUUGGACAAUGGGGGCAACCCUGAUCCAGCCAUGCCGCGUGCAGGAAGACGGCCCUCUGGGUUGUAAACUGCUUUUGAUUGGGAACAAAUGACUCUUGCGAGAGUAGCUGAGUGUACCAAUAGAAUAAGCACCGGCUAACUCCGUGCCAGCAGCCGCGGUAAUACGGAGGGUGCAAGCGUUGUCCGGAUUUAUUGGGUUUAAAGGGUGCGUAGGCGGCUAUUUAAGUCAGUGGUGAAAUCCUGCAGCUUAACUGUAGAACUGCCAUUGAUACUGAAUAGCUUGAGUACUGUUGAGGUAGGCGGAAUUGACAGUAGCGGUGAAAUGCAUAGAUAUUGUCAAGAACACCGAUAGCGAAGGCAGCUUACUAAAGAGUAACUGACGCUGAGGCACGAAAGCGUGGGGAUCAAACAGGAUUAGAUACCCUAGUAGUCC